CCUACGGGUGGCUGCAGUGAGGAAUAUUGGUCAAUGGACGCAAGUCUGAACCAGCGAUGCCGCGUGAAGGAAGACGGCUCUAUGAGUUGUAAACUGCUUUUGUACGGGUGUAAACUCAGAUACGCGUAUCUGUCUGAAAGUAUCGUACGAAUAAGCAUCGGCUAACUGCGUGCCAGCAGCCGCGGUAAUACGGAGGAUGCAAGCGUUAUCCGGAUUUAUUGGGUUUAAAGGGUGCGUAGGCGGUCUGAUAAGUUAGCUGUGAAAGCCCGAGGCUCAACGUCGGAAUUGCCUAUGAUACUGUUCGGCUAGAGAGUAGUUGAGGUAGGCGGAAUGUAUGGUGUAGCGGUGAAAUGCGUAGAGAUCAUACAGAACACCGAUGGCGAAGGCAGCUUACCAAGCUAUAUCUGACGUUGAGGCACGAAAGCGUGGGGAGCAAACAGGAUUAGAUACCCGAGUAGUC
RNAcentral lists this ribosomal RNA (460 nucleotides) under uncultured bacterium. RNAcentral describes it as "partial 16S ribosomal RNA". It matches the Rfam family "Bacterial small subunit ribosomal RNA", at positions 338 to 795 of the family's 1533-position model. The record is from RNAcentral.